UUUUUGCUGUUUUGUGAAAAUAUCAAUUGAGAGCAAAGGAGAAUUUUUGGGUCGUGUGGCUGCAGUGUGUUUUCUAGGGUUGUGAAUCAGCAGGAAAUGAACUUUUAUAUUGCUGUUUAGCCAAGCUAAUGGAAGUGCUAAGUUGGAUUAUGUUUAAUGAGGCAUUUUGCAUUCUUGCUAAUUUUGGAACCAAUGAAAAUGGAGGUGUGAAUUUGGCACGGUUUUGGGCCUGCUACAAGCUGCUAGUGGCCAGCACAAUUGCUGUUUU
RNAcentral lists this long non-coding RNA (268 nucleotides) under Lathyrus oleraceus (garden pea). RNAcentral describes it as "Pisum sativum (pea) long non-coding RNA (PSAT_LNC000638)". The record is from RNAcentral. Lineage: Eukaryota; Viridiplantae; Streptophyta; Magnoliopsida; Fabales; Fabaceae.